This is a long non-coding RNA of Carassius auratus (goldfish), 424 nucleotides long. RefSeq lists it as uncharacterized. The transcript is spliced from 3 exons. The record is from RefSeq and is a predicted model, not a curated record. Lineage: Eukaryota; Metazoa; Chordata; Actinopteri; Cypriniformes; Cyprinidae.
GAAUGUCCUCCUGGGUGAAGGUCAGUGGAUCGGGUGGAUGUUUAGCACAACCCAACCAAUGAAGCAGGAGAUUUUGAGCAGGACACUGUUGUUCAUGUCGUAAGCAAGGAGAAAACUCUGAAGUUGUCUCAGCAGGACACUUUCAAGAUGAUGGUUGACUCAAAAUCCCGAAGACAUCAAAAAUCAACAAGAAUCCCUUUUUAAUUCUCUGGAGUCAAUGGAGCAGACGAGUCAAAGCUGAUGCAUUUACCCAGAUGUUAAGACUAAUGAAGUGCAGCGGUGAACAGCGUGUCACUCUCAUAUCCGUUUGAUGUCGGCACAUCCUUCCUUUGUACAGAGGGAACAACAUGGGGUGCUCGAUCACUUCCAAACCCUGUUCAAUCUAAAUUAAAAUGUACUAAUCUUGUUAUUAUGCUGACCCCUU